AGUGAACGCUGGCGGUAGGCCUAACACAUGCAAGUCGAACGGCAGCACAGUAAGAGCUUGCUAUUACGGGUGGCGAGUGGCGGACGGGUGAGGAAUACAUCGGAAUCUACUUUUUCGUGGGGGGUAACGUAGGGAAACUUACGCUAAUACCGCAUACGACCUACGGGUGAAAGCAGGGGAUCUUCGGACCUUGCGCGGUUGAAUGAGCCGAUGUCGGAUUAGCUAGUUGACGGGGUAAAGGCCCACCAAGGCGACGAUCCGUAGCUGGUCUGAGAGGAUGAUCAGCCACACUGGAACUGAGACACGGUCCAGACUCCUACGGGACGCAGCAGUGGGGAAUGUUGGACUGUGGGCGCAAGCCUGAUCCAGCCAUGCCGCGUGGGUGAAGAAGGCCCUCGGGUUGUAAAGCCCUUUUGUUGGGAAAGAAAAGCAGCAGGUUAAUACCCCGCUGUUCUGACGGUACCCAAAGAAUAAGCACCGGCUAACUUCGU
This 491-nucleotide ribosomal RNA is filed under the name uncultured bacterium. RNAcentral's name for it is "partial 16S ribosomal RNA". It matches the Rfam family "Bacterial small subunit ribosomal RNA", at positions 29 to 506 of the family's 1533-position model. The record is from RNAcentral.